AUGACCAAGGCCAGGGGCAGUUAUCUUGUGUUUAUGUACCAUUUCUUUUGGUAAAAUUUAAUGCCAUUGCCGGCAAGAACACUUGGCACAUAGAAUGUUGUGAUUAGUGGGACCAUUUGGUAUUUCCAUUAUCGUCCACAACAAAGACAAAACAAUGUAACAUAUUAAAAUAAAAAAAAAAUUCAACCAAUAAAAAAACUUUAUUUACUUCAUUUAUUUUUUCAUUUAAUAUUAGUGUAAAGAUAUAUUGGUAAACUUAGAUGGAUCAUUAAUUGGUAGUUUUCCUUUUUAAUAACUAACUACAUUAAAUUUGUAACUUAUUUAAAAAAAAAAAACAUAUUUUUCAAAAAAGGAAAAAAUAUAUAAUUUAAAGUGUAGCAUAAAUUACGAGAUGUGUAAGAUGAAUUACGAGCCGUGUAGGAUAAAUUUGAAUAUGUGUAGGAUAAAUUUCAGAACGUGUAGGAUAAACUUUGAUGUGUAUAAGCAAAAAUUUAAGUGUGGAGAAUGAUAGUGUUUAUUACUAAUUAAUUAGUUCAAGAUAAUAAUAAAUGAGUUGGGAGAAAAACUAUUUAAUGUUUUACAUUUGUACCCGUUGUUCAUUUUCUUCUUAAUUAGUCAAAGAUAAUAAUAAAUGAGUUGAGAGAAAAAUUAUUUAAUGUUUUACAUUUGUACCUUUUGUUCAUUUUCUUCUUAACUUAAUUUUCUUCUAUAUAUAUUACAUCUUUUAUACUGUUGGACUAAUGAACUUAUUUAAAGACAUUUAGUUCGGAUUAUAUAAUAGGGGGGCGGCCGGGCAGGUAAUGUAUGACAAGUAACACUACUUUAGGCAUGAGCAUACCUUGACUAAAACCAGUUAACUUACAAUUUUAAUUAUUUUAAGGUCGUAGUUGUUAACUACUUUAGGCAUACGCAUACCUUGACUAAAACCAGUUAACUUAUAAUUUUAAUUAUUUUAAGGUCGUAGUUGUUAACUACUUUAGGCAUGCGUGACUAAAACCAGAUAACUUGCAACACAACUAGAAAACUUUACUUUACAACAAUAUUGCAAUAACAUGGCAACAUGAUAUUUAGUGGGAAAUUUUUGCUAUUUCCCAAUAUAUUUAUAUUUAUUUAACUAUUUCGUUGGAAAAAAGUUAUAAAUAUAACUAGCAAAGUUUAUUAACAACACUUGUUAAAAUACCUACAACAUAAGGUUUUUUUCUUGAACUUACUUUGAUCAUAAGUCAUAACAUACAAGUAAUCACCUUUAGACUG
RNAcentral lists this long non-coding RNA (1254 nucleotides) under Helianthus annuus (common sunflower). Its description in RNAcentral is "hypothetical non coding rna". The record is from RNAcentral. Lineage: Eukaryota; Viridiplantae; Streptophyta; Magnoliopsida; Asterales; Asteraceae.